This 4339-nucleotide long non-coding RNA is filed under the name Bemisia tabaci. Its description in RNAcentral is "lncRNA ENSSSA3NGG005886". The record is from RNAcentral. Lineage: Eukaryota; Metazoa; Arthropoda; Insecta; Hemiptera; Aleyrodidae.
AUGUUAUUGACGAGUCGCAGUCUCCAAAAAUACCGCGUGAGGUACGUUAAGAAUAAUUUUGUUCUCUUUGAGCAAAUGGUUGGAGGACGGUCUGCCAAAAUGGGGUUGGUAAAAAUGGACAAUACUACUUUUGCGUGUCCACUUUUUGGGGGUGAUAAGAUGUCCAAAGCUGUCUUAUCAAUUAAGUCUAAAUUUUUGAAGAUAAAAAAGUCAAUAAUAUCUGGUUUAUGAUUUUGAUCAUGAGGAUAGCUAGUAGGUUUCCCGGGAGAUACAAAGUUACCUUCUUCUGUUUUAACCGCUUCAUAGAGUGAUUCUCCCUUGGGGUUGGUUAUUCUUGAUCCCCAGUAGUGGCUCAUAGCGUUAAAAUUGCCACCCACCAAAAAGAGAUCUCAGCUCACCUAGAAAUCGGAGUAAUCUGAGGUUGAUAUAACAUUACGAGGAGGAAUAUACAACGACGCUACAUUGAAAUCUCCUAAUUUAGUAUGUAUGCCGAUAACAGCAACUUGUAAAACUGAAUGAAAGAAAUGAAUUAUACAAUAGAAAAAUAACAUAACAAAGGUUUCGAAUACUCUUUCUGAGGUUAAGUGAUUACUAGUCUCGUUGUGUGGUGAAAUUGAAUACGAACUAAAGCAAUCCUGAAAACUGACAAUGAGUAAAUCUAUAAUCUUCGAUGUUUUGACAGGCACUAAAACAUUGCAGAAUUUUGCAGAGAAAAGUUAAACUGCUUAUCAUCGUCUAAUGUCUCCAAGAAUAAGUUUGUUUUUUUUUUAACAAAGAACAUAUUAUUUAUUAAUUAGGUGACAGAGUGGAACCACAAUUUAACAGAAUUGUGGCCGAAGGCCUAUGCUUACAUGCUAAACGAUAAUAAAAGAUAGAAAGUUCCUGAUUUACUUACAUAUGGUCCCCCCUUUUAGUUCCCGAAAAGAGUCUAAUUUAAGUAAAAGUUUCUUUGGAGAUUCUCGGUCUUCUUCUUCUUAUGCUUCAAUGUUCACCUCGGAAAUGUCAGUUGACUUAUCAUCGAGGGAGGAGAAAGGGGUUGGUAUCCAGGCUAUGGUUAAUGGAGUAUUAUCAUCGAUGGCUUCAUCACGUGUUCGAGAAGUUGAUGGGAUGUGAUAACCUUUAAUUUCUUCUCUAAUCAAACGUGACAUUGAUAUAGCUGGGCGUAUUUCAGCUUCAGCCAACAUUUUGUGAAUUUUACAACCGUAACGGCAGCUAGUUGAUCAGAGCAUCUACAGUUUUGUGUUUUUCCCAAAGUUCCGAUCUACAUAAAGGUAGGGGAAAAUAUAAAGUGUCCGAGAGUGAAUCCACCGUACUUUAUAGGAACCGUCUUUUAGGGUAAAAACAUGGCACUCUGGUUUCUCUCUGAUUUUUUUUAUCCUACGAAAGUCUCUUUGAAAACGUUUUUUUCGCGCUUACGCUCGUCAAAAAUGUGCAAGCCUCCCCCAACCGGAAAUUUGUCUGUGACUCUCUCUUCAAAGCGUUAAAUGUUAGUCAAACUUGCGUUUGGUGGGUAAUUUUCAGUACAAUUUGUUUUUUUUUUUUUUUUUUUGAGUUCCAAACCUUUAAAUCUUCAUGAAAAGAUGGCAGGUGAGAUCUCUACAAUGAAUUUUCAAACGUAUCCUGCUUAGUGAUAUAGAUUUACAAAAGCUGUACUAAGGUAGCAUAAUCAAUGGGUCAGAUGCACUAUUCAUACAAACGCAUUUUGAUGCUAGAUAUUUGCUUAGUAGUACAUUUUUGGCGUUUUUAAAUCUUCACAAUGCAACUUUGCAAACUUUUGCUAGAGCAAAAAUGAGAAUUAGUUUUUAUAGAAAAUGGCUCAAAAAUCACGGCAAACGCAUCGACAAAGUCUGAAAUGCUUUCUUAACUUCACAGUCGUUCUAACUCGUUAGAACGACUCUUCUAACGAAAUGUUCACCUGUCCCGUAGUAUCGUUUUUGAAGCGGGAAGCUAAAAAACUGCAAAUUUCUUACGCAGAUUGUGAAGUUAUAAGUGCAUUUAAGACUUUUCCGAUGCGCUCAUCGUGAUUUUUGAGGCAUUACCUAUGGGAAACGACUCAUAUUUUUGCUCUAGCAAAAGUUUGCAAAGGCCCAUUAUCUUGAUUUUAAGCCGAUAUGCGGCACUUGCGCACGACCACGAUUUGCGGCGAACUUGAAUUAUAACUAUAAACAAAUUCAAUAAUUUUUAGUUCAAUAAAAUAUGUAUAAAAAUACAGAAAUCUGAAAUUUUAAUCUUGAUUAUACAGCUUAUGAUUAUAGGAAAUUUAAAAGCUUAAUUAGCCUUUAAUAUGAGAUUUUAUCAUAGAUUUACUCGAAACUCUAAACUGUAAAUUUGAUAAGUUGUAAUCCUAUUUCAAUUAUUGAAUGAUUAAAUUUUAAAAAACUUUUUACUUUUUUGAUUAGUAAUUUUAUGAAAAAAAACAAGAAGACAAAUCCGACAUGAAUUUGUUGGAAAAGCGUGCCGAAUAACUGAAGUGUUGGACAUAUACUAUUUUUAUGGCAUUACUGUCUGUAUCAAUUGGUGCUUUUUGCGAAAUUUGGAAGGAAAUAUAGAUUUAUGAACGUUGAAUGUACUUCAAUUAAUUCCUAGUAAAAAUGAAAAGGUUCGUACCGUGAACGCUCUCCAACGACCAUACGUUGGAACCAACCCUCAACCCCUUGUUUUCAGGUUAUACUUUUAUCCGUGGAAUCAGAUUAGAUAUUGAGCAGACUUCCUCCUCUCGAAAUGCUUACCUUUACUCCUAUUAGUCCUCUCUUUUCCUACUGGAAAUGAAAAUAGCAAUUGAAAUCAAAGCACGAGAAAAACAAAACUAUUGCACUCCUUCUUCUACUUUCUUUAUUUCCCAGGUUCGGUAUUUUAAUAUUCUUCACUGGUAAAAAAAACCCCCCUGGUUCAAGAAUGCAGUUUCUUGUCACCGGAUUGUUGCUUGAAACAAGAGUCUGGACUCUUGUUUCAAGCGGAUUUUGAAUUGGAUCAAUGCAAAAUCCGCUUGAAACAAGAGUUCAAGACUCUUAAAUCCGGCGACAAGAAAUUGCACUCUUAAGUCAUUGCACCGCGGCAUUGGUCCAAGAGGUUUUUUUUUACCAGUGUUUACACUUCUUAGUUUUUUACCCGCGUGCCGAGCAGUUGGUAACGGAAGUAUUAUUGCAUCUAAUUCAAUGUGUAUUUAUUUUAGUUAAUUUAUUAUCUUUUUAAGCGCUCAGCCGAUAGGCAGCGCUUUUUGAUUUCGACUUGCCUCUAGAAUACUAGUAUACUAGUGCUAAUUCGUUUAAAUGGCGCACCAGCUCAUCGAUGAGACGGCUUUUUUUCCGUACAAUUUUAAAAUAAAUAAAGCUGUGAAAACCGUAUUUUAUGCUUUUUACGUAAUGCGCGGGUAGAUUCGAAUGCUUUUCUAAAAGAAAAUGCUUUAGUGGUAGAGUAAUUCUUAUCGAAAUUGAUCGUUGAAAAUUUGACGAGCGGCAUAACACUCACCUGAUGAGCUCAACGGUGGCUAUCAUUUUCGGGAAACGAAAAAACUCGUUUACAUAGACAAUAUUGCGCUCCCUUCAUUACUUUACUAAUGUGGAAGAUUGUUCCCAAGUUCUGUUGUGUACGGCGUGUAGUAGCACAAGCACCUUGCAUCAGUGUCACUCUAGGGUGCGGCUUAUACGAGAAAUUAAACAGGUUGAAUUUUGAAAUUGACAAGGGACGUUCCUAAUAGUGUAAAAACAAACGUUGUAGAACAGUUUUGCAUUUGGUCAACAUUUAGAGGUUGCGACGGGCCUUUAAAGUUGCCAAAUUUGGCUAAUUUUCGCAUUUUUUCGUCAAUUUUGGCGAAUUUUCCCAGGCCUUACUGAGAGUUCUAAUCGGUCAAUUUAUUCAUAAAUUCAUAUAUUCCGAUACCCUAGUUUCCUUUCAGAACCUUUGGAAAAUCCAGAUUCCGAAAAGAGGGGAUGUUUUUAAACGUUUUUGAGUUAAAAAGGUGCAUUUAUUUUUCGAAAAAUCGAUUUUUAAAAAAAAUUGAUAGAUUUUGGGUCAUUUUCGGCUGCAGCGGCAAUAAUUUAGUGGAGUCAACUCCACCUGUCGCCUGAGAAAAAAUAUUUUCCCUCCUUUCCGACACAAAUCAAUCGGACUGGUAUUACAUGCGUUACAUGGGCGGAAAGGGGCACUUGUCCGGAAAAACCUCGAUAUUUGGAACAGAACGGAAACUUCAAUAGGCAUGCAAUGUAUGGAUUCCCAUGUAAUUUUAGCUGCUGAAUCUGAAAAUGACCUUAUCUUUCCUCCAUCAUGCACAGAAUUUCCGGAAAAUUGAUUUUUCACCGGAAAAGCUCGAUUUUUAAGGAAAAUCCUGAUUUUUCCGGGA